GACGAACGCUGGCGGCGUGCUUAACACAUGCAAGUCGAACGGAAAGGCCCUGCUUUUGGGGUGUUCUCGAGGGGAAAAGGGGGGAGAAACACGGGAGUAACCUCCCCUAGUCUUUGGUAAACCUUCAGAAACCUGGGUCAUAUCCCGUAUAGGCCCUCCUUCUUCUGGUUGGGGGUUGAAAAUUUUCGUGGGGUGGGGAUGGACUGCCGACUAAUCAGCUUGUUGGUGGGUUAGUGGCUUACCAAGCCUUGGACGGGUAGCCGGCCUGGGAGGGUGACCGGCCAAAUUGGGACUGAGAUAGGGCCCAGACUCCUAGGGGAGGAAGAAGUGGGGAAUUUUGCACAAUGGGCGGAAGCCUGAUGCAGCAACGCCGCGUGCGGGAUGACGGCCUUGGGGUUGUAAACCGCUUUCGCCUGUGACGAAGCGUGAGUGACGGUAAUGGGUAAAGAAGCACCGGCUAACUACGUG
This 468-nucleotide ribosomal RNA is filed under the name uncultured bacterium. RNAcentral's name for it is "partial 16S ribosomal RNA". It matches the Rfam family "Bacterial small subunit ribosomal RNA", at positions 28 to 507 of the family's 1533-position model. The record is from RNAcentral.